CCUACGGGAGGCAGCAGUGGGGAAUAUUGCACAAUGGGGGAAACCCUGAUGCAGCGACGCCGCGUGAGUGAAGAAGUAUUUCGGUACGUAAAGCUCUAUCAGCAGGGAAGAAAAUGACGGUACCUGACUAAGAAGCCCCGGCUAACUACGUGCCAGCAGCCGCGGUAAUACGUAGGGGGCAAGCGUUAUCCGGAUUUACUGGGUGUAAAGGGAGCGUAGACGGCAGCGCAAGUCUGGAGUGAAAUCCCAUGGCUUAACCAUGGAACUGCUUUGGAAACUGUGCAGCUAGAGUGCAGGAGAGGUAAGCGGAAUUCCUAGUGUAGCGGUGAAAUGCGUAGAUUUUAGGAGGAACACCAGUGGCGAAGGCGGCUUACUGGACUGUACCUGCCGUUGAGGCUCGAAAGCGUGGGGAGCAAACAGGAUUAGAUACCCCUGUAGUC
This 440-nucleotide ribosomal RNA is filed under the name uncultured bacterium. Its description in RNAcentral is "partial 16S ribosomal RNA". It matches the Rfam family "Bacterial small subunit ribosomal RNA", at positions 338 to 795 of the family's 1533-position model. The record is from RNAcentral.